GAUGAACGCUGGCGGCGUGCCUAAUACAUGCAAGUCGAGCGAACAGAUGAGGAGCUUGCUCCUCUGACGUUAGCGGCGGACGGGUGAGUAACACGUGGAUAACCUACCUAUAAGACUGGGAUAACUUCGGGAAACCGGAGCUAAUACCGGAUAAUAUAUUGAACCGCAUGGUUCAAUAGUGAAAGACGGUUUUGCUGUCACUUAUAGAUGGAUCCGCGCCGCAUUAGGUAGUUGGUAAGGUAACGGCUUACCAAGGCAACGAUGCGUAGCCGAACUGAGAGGGUGGUCGGCCACACUGGAACUGAGACACGGUCCAUACUCCUACGGGACGCCGCAGUAGGGAAUCUUCCGCAAUGGGCGAAAGCCUGACGGAGCAACGCCGCGUGAGUGAUGACGGUCUUCGGAUCGUAAAACUCUGUUAUUAGGGAAGAACAAAUGUGUAAGUAAAUAUGCACGUCUUGACGGUACCUAAUCAGAAAGCCACGGCUAACUACGUG
This 497-nucleotide ribosomal RNA is filed under the name uncultured bacterium. RNAcentral's name for it is "partial 16S ribosomal RNA". It matches the Rfam family "Bacterial small subunit ribosomal RNA", at positions 28 to 507 of the family's 1533-position model. The record is from RNAcentral.